This 815-nucleotide ribosomal RNA is filed under the name Xylariaceae sp. OTU6. RNAcentral's name for it is "eukaryotic LSU rRNA". It matches the Rfam family "Eukaryotic large subunit ribosomal RNA", at positions 87 to 929 of the family's 3401-position model. The record is from RNAcentral. Lineage: Eukaryota; Fungi; Ascomycota; Sordariomycetes; Xylariales; Xylariaceae.
CGGCGAGUGAAGCGGCAACAGCUCAAAUUUGAAAUCUGGCCCUCGGGUCCGAGUUGUAAUUUGCAGAGGAUGCUUUUGGCGCGGUGCCUUCCGAGUUCCCUGGAACGGGACGCCUUAGAGGGUGAGAGCCCCGUACGGUUGGACACCAAGCCUCUGUAAAGCUCCUUCGACGAGUCGAGUAGUUUGGGAAUGCUGCUCUAAAUGGGAGGUAAAUUUCUUCUAAAGCUAAAUACCGGCCAGAGACCGAUAGCGCACAAGUAGAGUGAUCGAAAGAUGAAAAGCACUUUGAAAAGAGGGUUAAACAGCACGUGAAAUUGUUGAAAGGGAAGCGUUUGCGACCAGACCUUUUCCUGGCGGAUCAUCCGGUGUUCUCACCGGUGCACUCCGCCAGGCAGAGGCCAGCAUCGGUUCCUGCAGGGGCACAAAAGCCUGGGGAACGUAGCUCCCUCGGGAGUGUUAUAGCCCCUAGCAUAAUACCCUUGCGGGGACCGAGGACCGCGCUUCGGCAAGGAUGCUGGCGUAAUGGUCGUCAAUGACCCGUCUUGAAACACGGACCAAGGAGUCGAACAUUUGUGCGAGUGUUUGGGUGUCAAACCCUCACGCGUAAUGAAAGUGAACGGAGGUGAGAGCCCUCGCGGGUGCAUCAUCGACCGAUCCUGAUGUCUUCGGAUGGAUUUGAGUAAGAGCAUAACUGUUCGGACCCGAAAGAUGGUGAACUAUGCGCGGAUAGGGUGAAGCCAGAGGAAACUCUGGUGGAGGCUCGCAGCGGUUCUGACGUGCAAAUCGAUCGUCAAAUCUGCGCAUGGGGGCGAAAG